AUCUCUUCUUGUUCUUUGGCUAAAGAUCAAGUGUAGUAUCUGUUCUCAUCAGUUUAAUAACUGAUAUAUUCCCUAUUAAAGGACAAUAUAUUAAAUGAAUAAUUUUGAGCAAAGUGUCAGAAUUGUAGCUCGCUACAUCAACGCUACACAUUGACCUGGUAUUGCAGUACUUGUUAUUACAGUGAAGCCCCU
Small nuclear RNA from Suncus etruscus (white-toothed pygmy shrew), 192 nucleotides. RefSeq annotates it as U2 spliceosomal RNA. The record is from RefSeq and is a predicted model, not a curated record. Lineage: Eukaryota; Metazoa; Chordata; Mammalia; Eulipotyphla; Soricidae. The transcript has a single exon.